Molecule: long non-coding RNA, 368 nt
Organism: Corvus hawaiiensis (hawaiian crow)
Lineage: Eukaryota; Metazoa; Chordata; Aves; Passeriformes; Corvidae
Exons: 5
Source: RefSeq, a predicted model, not a curated record
CAGUGCGAGAGGAAGAUGAAGGUGGCUGUGCUCAGCGUGGCCCUGCUCUUCUCCAUCCUGCUGUGCCCCCCAGCACAGGCCAAGGCACUCCUGGAAGGAACCCAAGAUGAUCUCCAGGAGGUGGAUGUAGUCAAUGUCGACAUCCUGAAGACACCUCAGCCUGCUCUGGAUGAAAAGCUGGAGGCUCUUCUGCGGCAGAAGCGCCUGGCUGCUGCUCUACAUGGAUAGAUUGAACCAGGUGGGGAAAACCAUGUCCUGUCCCCCUCCAGUGGAAUGAGGAGAUGAUGAUCAUCCCUGGAGGAAUCGCCUGAUCCCCUGUGAGCCCUGGGCCUUUUUCCUCAAAUGGCCAAUAAACCCCUUCAGCAAAU